AAACCAUGCAUCGGGCAUUUUCGUAACAAGUCUUUAAAUCGCUCCAAAGCUUCAUACAAUUUCUCAUCCUUCAAUUGCUUGAAAGAUGUAAUGUCAUUACUUAAUCU
Hibiscus syriacus is the source of this 107-nucleotide small nucleolar RNA. The record is from RefSeq and is a predicted model, not a curated record. Lineage: Eukaryota; Viridiplantae; Streptophyta; Magnoliopsida; Malvales; Malvaceae.